Molecule: long non-coding RNA, 340 nt
Filed under: Mytilus galloprovincialis (Mediterranean mussel)
Lineage: Eukaryota; Metazoa; Mollusca; Bivalvia; Mytilida; Mytilidae
Source: RNAcentral
GGUUAACAGCAAAUAGACAAUGCAUGACAAUAUAAAACACUUAUUCAUCUUAAUAGACCGUUGUUGAUAGCUUUAUCUGUGUGUUGGCGUUUCAUUUUAUGACAGUUUAUUUCAAUGCUUUUUGAUAACUCGAUCAUUAAUGACUGUCAUAUUUCGCCUGAAGGAAACCGACUACCGUAAUGGAUGCCAUUCUAUUUAAUACAAUUACCAUAGAGAUAUCUUACAAAUUAAAGAUAAUUAUCAGAAUCUAUAAAAUACCACAUCCUUUAUAUCAAGAAUGUCGUUAUCGUGGUCAGGAAUAUGAUUUUGUUGAUCAAUUUUGACCAUAAUUCUACAGCCC